RNAcentral lists this ribosomal RNA (262 nucleotides) under uncultured prokaryote. Its description in RNAcentral is "partial 16S ribosomal RNA". It matches the Rfam family "Bacterial small subunit ribosomal RNA", at positions 917 to 1178 of the family's 1533-position model. The record is from RNAcentral.
GGGCCCGCACAAGCGGUGGAGCAUGUGGUUUAAUUCGAAGCUACGCGAAGAACCUUACCAGGUCUUGACAUCUUGCGCCAACCCUAGAGAUAGGGCGUUUCCUUCGGGAACGCAAUGACAGGUGGUGCAUGGUCGUCGUCAGCUCGUGUCGUGAGAUGUUGGGUUAAGUCCCGCAACGAGCGCAACCCUUGUUACUAGUUGCCAGCAUUCAGUUGGGCACUCUAGUGUUAGACUGCCGUUGACAAAACGGAGGAAGGUGGGG